UGAUGUUAUUCCUACAUUUCUACAGGUAUGGGAUCAGAUUCACCAAGCAGGUUAUUAUGUUGAUGUUGAUACAAUAGACAGGAGGAUCCAAAAGAAGAUAAAUCAGACAUCAACUGGCAGUAACUGGAAAAAAGUUUACAGAUGCUGGAAUUUGCAUUCGAAUGCUGGGAAUUGUGAUCAGAAUGCUAAUUUUUUUAUAGUUCUGGAAAACUAUUUUCUUACAAAGGUAUUUAUAUUGGAAAUAGUCUAAGACUCCUAACAAAUUAAAUACAAUAGAAAAAAUAGCAAUUGAAGUAAAUAGAUGUUCAAUAUCACUUUAUGAGGAAUCAUCACAAACAACUAGUUGCAUGUGAAGUUCACAUGCAAGCUUGCUCAUACGCCAAAGUGUCAUGUGUAGGACAUCCGAGUGAUGCAUAAGGUGGGAUUCACUAUGACAAUCACCUGUUGCAAAAAAUAGGUGGCCUUCAUCUUAUGCAUAACUUGAUGUGUCAUACACAUGACGUGAACGGGGUUUCAUCUAAAGUUCACAUGCAACUGGUUGUAGG
Long non-coding RNA from Magnolia sinica, 545 nucleotides. RefSeq lists it as uncharacterized. Lineage: Eukaryota; Viridiplantae; Streptophyta; Magnoliopsida; Magnoliales; Magnoliaceae. The record is from RefSeq and is a predicted model, not a curated record. The transcript has 3 exons.